RNAcentral lists this ribosomal RNA (223 nucleotides) under Vibrio alginolyticus. RNAcentral describes it as "partial 23S ribosomal RNA". It matches the Rfam family "Bacterial large subunit ribosomal RNA", at positions 477 to 702 of the family's 2925-position model. Lineage: Bacteria; Pseudomonadati; Pseudomonadota; Gammaproteobacteria; Vibrionales; Vibrionaceae. The record is from RNAcentral.
UGACUGACCGAUAGUGAACCAGUACCGUGAGGGAAAGGCGAAAAGAACCCCUGUGAGGGGAGUGAAAUAGAACCUGAAACCGUGUACGUACAAGCAGUAGGAGCAGGCUUUAUCCUGUGACUGCGUACCUUUUGUAUAAUGGGUCAGCGACUUAUAUUCAGUGGCAAGGUUAACCAUCUAGGGGAGCCGUAGGGAAACCGAGUCUUAACUGGGCGUUCAGUCU